UGAGCUGGGGGUGGCCGCAGAGACCAGCGAGAAGCGACUGUUUACUAAAAACACAGGUCCGUGCGAAGCCGUAAGGCGAUGUAUACGGACUGACGCCUGCCCGGUGCUGGAACGUUAAGGGGACCGGUUAGUCACUCUUCGGGGUGGCGAAGCUGAGAACUUAAGCGCCAGUAAACGGCGGUGGUAACUAUAACCAUCCUAAGGUAGCGAAAUUCCUUGUCGGGUAAGUUCCGACCUGCACGAAUGGCGUAACGACUUCUCGACUGUCUCAACCAUAGGCCCGGUGAAAUUGCACUACGAGUAAAGAUGCUCGUUUCGCGCAGCAGGACGGAAAGACCCCGGGACCUUUACUACAGUUUGAUAUUGGUGUUCGGUUCGGCUUGUGUAGGAUAGCUGGGAGACUGUGAAAGCCAUACGCCAGUAUGGUGGGAGUCGUCGUUGAAAUACCAGUCUGGUCGUGCUGGAUGUCUAACCUGGGUCCGUGAUCCGGAUCAGGGACAGUGUCUGAUGGGUAGUUUAACUGGGGCGGUUGCCUCCUAAAGAGUAACGGAGGCGCCCAAAGGUUCCCUCAGCCUGGUUGGCAAUCAGGUGUUGAGUGUAAGUGCACAAGGGAGCUUGACUGUGAGACCGACGGGUCGAGCAGGGACGAAAGUCGGGACUAGUGAUCCGGCGGUGGCUUGUGGAAGCGCCGUCGCUCAACGGAUAAAAGGUACCCCGGGGAUAACAGGCUGAUCUUCCCCAAGAGUCCAUAUCGACGGGAUGGUUUGGCACCUCGAUGUCGGCUCGUCGCAUCCUGGGGCUGGAGUCGGUCCCAAGGGUUGGGCUGUUCGCCCAUUAAAGCGGUACGCGAGCUGGGUUUAGAACGUCGUGAGACAGUUCGGUCCCUAUCCGCUGUGCGCGUAGGAGUCUUGAGAAGGGCUGUCCCUAGUACGAGAGGACCGGGACGGACGAACCUCUGGUGUGCCAGUUGUCCUGCCAAGGGCAUGGCUGGUUGGCUACGUUCGGGAGGGAUAACCGCUGAAAGCAUCUAAGCGGGAAGCCUGCUUCGAGAUGAGGACUCCCACCUCCUAGAGAGGGUAAGGCUCCCAGUAGACGACUGGGUUGAUAGGCCGGAUAUGGAAGCACGGUAACGUGUGGAGUUGACCGGUACUAAUAGGCCGAGGGCUUGUCCUCAGUUG
RNAcentral lists this ribosomal RNA (1178 nucleotides) under Streptomyces sp. XY152. Its description in RNAcentral is "bacterial LSU rRNA". It matches the Rfam family "Bacterial large subunit ribosomal RNA", at positions 1763 to 2925 of the family's 2925-position model. Lineage: Bacteria; Bacillati; Actinomycetota; Actinomycetes; Kitasatosporales; Streptomycetaceae. The record is from RNAcentral.